Molecule: ribosomal RNA, 871 nt
Filed under: uncultured Methanosaeta sp.
Lineage: Archaea; Methanobacteriati; Methanobacteriota; Methanomicrobia; Methanotrichales; Methanotrichaceae
Description: bacterial SSU rRNA
Rfam family: Archaeal small subunit ribosomal RNA
Source: RNAcentral
CCGGUUGAUCCUGCCAGAGGUUACUGCUAUCGAGGUUCGACUAAGCCAUGCGAGUCGAAUGUAGCAAUACAUGGCGUACUGCUCAGUAACACGUGGAUAACCUACCCUUAGAACGGGGGAUAAACCCGGGAAACUGGGUAUAAUACCCGAUAGAUCUCGGCUGCUGGAAUGCAUCGAGAUCCAAAGCUCCGGCGUCUAAGGAUGGAUCUGCGGCCUAUCAGGUAGUAGUGGGUGUAGCGUACCUACUAGCCUACGACGGGUACGGGUUGUGAGAGCAAGAGCCCGGAGAUGGAUUCUGAGACACGAAUCCAGGCCCUACGGGGUGCAGCAGGCGCGAAAACUUUACAAUGCUGGCAACAGCGAUAAGGGGACCUCGAGUGCCAGGUUACAAAUCUGGCUGUCGUGAUGCCUAAAAAGCAUUGCAUAGCAAGGGCCGGGCAAGACCGGUGCCAGCCGCCGCGGUAACACCGGCGGCUCGAGUGGUAACCGUUAUUAUUGGGUMUAAAGGGUCUGUAGCCGGCCGGAUAAGUSUCUUGGGAAAUCUGGCAGCUUAACUGUCAGGCUUUCAGGAGAUACUGUCUGGCUCGAGGCCGGGAGAGGUGAGAGGUACUUCAGGGGUAGGGGUGAAAUCUUGUAAUCCUUGAAGGACCACCAGUGGCGAAGGCGUCUCACCAGAACGGACCUGACGGCAAGGGACGAAAGYUAKGGGCACGAACCGGAUUAGAUACCCGGGUAGUCCUAGCCGUAAACGAUACUCGCUAGGUGUCGGCCACGGUGCGACCGUUGUCGGUGCCGUAGGGAAGCCGUGAAGCGAGCCACCUGGGAAGUACGGCCGCAAGGCUGAAACUUAAAGGAAUUGGCGGGGGAGCAC